This 48-nucleotide non-coding RNA is filed under the name Trichobilharzia regenti. Lineage: Eukaryota; Metazoa; Platyhelminthes; Trematoda; Strigeidida; Schistosomatidae. The record is from RNAcentral.
AUUCACCUGAUGAGUCCCAAAUAGGACGAAAUGUGCACUGUCUUGUAU